AUGCUUCCUGAAAGACCAGUUCAUGCAUUACUUUACUUUUUUUUCUACUCAAAGCCUUAUUGGUUCGGAAAAUCUGCAGUUGCGCCACCUGUCUAGUUCCCAACUUUUCAGAUUAACGAGUUUCAACUGCUCUUUAAUGUUAUUCUCUGCAGUGAUAAUGGAAAAUUAUGUUUUUCAAGUAAAUUAUUUUAUUCUUAUAAGAAUAUGAAAAGAGUGAUUGGUACAGUAAUUGUGCCAUUUGUUUUACAUGCUUUGAGAAGUGACACAACAUCUAUUCACCUUUUUCAGCAUUGUAUUUCAUCCAUUUAUUGCAUAUAUUUGAUUUUUUCAUACUAUUCCAACAUGUCCAUUAUAGUUAAUCGAUUCAGUAUUCCUUCUGUACAUUUUAGAUUUUUCGAACAUUCAGCAUUUCUAGCACUACUACGUUAAACCCCAUUCAGCAUUAUUUCUAAAGUUUUAGCUUACUUAUCAUUCAUUUUUUUUCACAUCAUGUAACAUCUUUUCAUUCGUGCAACUUCAUUUUCACCCCAUUCAAUGUUCCUUUCAUCGUCCAGCUUCCCCAGGACCGGCUGGAGCCCACACAGCAAGUGCUCAAUCGUUAAAAGAGAGAGAGAGAGUGUGGGUGUGAGAAGACUUAGUGGGUCCCCUGGCUCCCAGUGCUCCCUACACACCCCUCCAGGCCGUGCCCCCUCCUGGCAUGGCGGGCCUGCAUUCCCCCCCUCUCACCUCUUCCCCGCGCCACCACCAGGGUUCCCCCAGGCAGGCUAUACAUGGAGCAAGCAGGGGCCUUGUCUCCGGGGGUAUGGGGGACACCUCCUCUCCUGCUCGACGGCCACGCGAGUUUGAUGUGCGAGCUGAGAUGGAAAAGCACAAAUUCAAUCUCUCCAUUGACGACUGAAGUCCACGCAGCUAGCAACAUUUUUUUCCUUAUUAAUAAUUCUUAUUUUGCUUGCUUGAUUAUUUUAUAAAAUAGGUCAUGUUCAUUUUUUUUGUCCCUUUUUUUAAGUUGAGGUAAAAUAGAUUGGUCAUUUCAUAGGCCAAUUUUCAAUUUUAAUUUUUCUUUUUUAUCCUGAACUGUUGUCAUUUUUAUUUGUAUCAUUAUUUUACAGGAAAGGUUGGAACUGUGCCAUUUAUGUGAGAAGGUUAUGUUAUGUUAUAUAUAUAUUUAGAAUUAUUUGUUUUCCUUUGUUUCUUUUUUUCCAGAACUUCAGCAUUUGUGACAGAAGUAGCCCACAGCCUUUUUAUUUCAACAUAGCUUUCAGAGUUUUACAACAGUCAUGCCAGAUAUAUAUAUAAACAUCCCAAUAUCUAUACAUUAAUAGUGUUAUCAUUAUAUUAACUAUCUUGACCGGUUAAAAUACCCACAUCCAAAUGCUUCCUUUAUUUAGUACGUGGAUAAUUCUCCUGCGCGUGUCUGUUUCCAAAAUAUUCAGAUGUGAUAAGAUUUUCCUUUCGUUUCCUCUUUUUUAUGUAGAAUAGGCAUUGUAUUGUGCUAACAGGAGACUGGCUUAGAAAAAAAUACUCAUUCAUAUAAAUCACUUUUUUUUUUCUUACUCGUUUUUUAUUCAUUUUGUCUCUCCUGUUUGACAGUGUACAGAACGCAGUUGACGUACAUAUAUACAUAUAUAUCUUUGAGAAGGAUUUUUAAGUAUGUUCUGUAUAUCCAAUGCUUUGUUGAUUGUAUAGAAAAAAAUGCUUCAAGUAUUCUAGACAGGCCCUUAAUUGUUAGUUGAUUUUGGUAAAAUGAAAAAAAAGGGCUAUGAAAAAGCAAAGUUGUGUUGGGGUUCUUUAUAAUAGCAAAAUAUGUCUUGUAUAUGUCCAUUGUAGCAUGGUAAGAUGUUCUCUGUAUGUUACUUGUAAAUAAAAGAUUUAAAGUAAAA
Molecule: non-coding RNA, 1880 nt
Organism: Penaeus vannamei (Pacific white shrimp)
Lineage: Eukaryota; Metazoa; Arthropoda; Malacostraca; Decapoda; Penaeidae
Source: RefSeq, a predicted model, not a curated record